AAAAAGACAAAUCCUAGGUUUCCGUGUCCAACGUUUAACUGUUUGUCUUAUAUGAAAUUAUUUUAUAAUUAGUAUUUUUAUUGUUGUUAGAUGAUAAAACAUGAUUAAUACUUUAUGUGUGACUUGUUUUUUUAAUUUUUUUCAUAUAAGACGGACGGUCAAACGUUGGAUAUGGAAACCUAAGUUUGUCUUUUUU
MicroRNA precursor from Oryza rufipogon (brownbeard rice), 196 nucleotides. It matches the Rfam family "MIR812 microRNA precursor family". The record is from Rfam. NCBI's taxonomy places the organism in Eukaryota, Viridiplantae, Streptophyta, Magnoliopsida, Poales, Poaceae.